This 108-nucleotide ribosomal RNA is filed under the name Kwoniella shandongensis. Lineage: Eukaryota; Fungi; Basidiomycota; Tremellomycetes; Tremellales; Cryptococcaceae. The record is from RNAcentral.
UCACGGCCAUAGAAGCGAGAAAGUGCCGCGUCCCGUCAGAUACGCGAAGCGAGGCUCGCUAUCGCCCGAUUAGUACCAAGGUCGGGGACGACUCGGGAUUGCUGGGUA